Molecule: non-coding RNA, 11828 nt
Organism: Varroa destructor (honeybee mite)
Lineage: Eukaryota; Metazoa; Arthropoda; Arachnida; Mesostigmata; Varroidae
Source: RefSeq, a predicted model, not a curated record
UCGUCCUCUUUCUUCAAGCUCUCUCUCCACUGCGACAGUAGCCCUUUCCCCAUUGAAGGUCGUCUGCUUAACCCAGAGUAUUCGUAAGAGGGGAAUAUGUACUGAGCAGGAUUCCAAACGCAAACGAUAGACUGGACUGAUUAAUUCUGUGCGAGAGACAGCAGUCAACAGUAGUUGUGUUGGUGAUCGUGUUGAGAACCUAGAAUGAAAGGUGGAGAAACGGAAAGGAGUUCAAUUGGCUAAAAUUUCGCGCGAAAAGCUUCUCAUCUCAUGGCUGUUUUGACCUUGUACAAGCUAUUCUUCGCUUGAUAUUCAUAUGGAAGUCUCUGUAAUCAGAGUAUUGGUGAAUAGUUAGUGAUCUUGAACUUGUGUUGUGGAGUGGGCUUAUUGUUCAUCACUUAGGGAGCUGAUCUAUUAAUGCAUCGUCACAGCGGCUCACCUUCUGAACUAACCAAGUACGACCACCUAUGAUCAGCGGAGUAGAUAGAACUUUGACUCAUUCAAAAACCAUAAUGUUAUGUUUUAUAGGGCCGGAGCAUUCGUUGAAGAUCCAGCAUUCUCGAUUCGCGUUCAUUUUUUAAAGCAGCAAAAGAGCUCGCUUAGAAGGGACCUUUCAGCCUAAGGUCUUCUUCUAUUCGGUCAUGUUUGCAUUUGUUAGAUCAAUGUCAACUACAUCAAGUAUAAUGUGUCAGUAAGUUGUGUCAUUCGUAGUACGUGGGCAGCCAAAUAUGAACAACACUAACCUGAAAUUAAUAUAUUGGUACAGAUACUAUACUAGGACAACGGCCUGUCUGUCUGUCUGUCUGUCUGUGGUUCUCUGCGUAUAUGAAAGUAAGAAGUACUCAAGGAGGCCGACGCAUCGGACACGGACUAACCUUGUUGAAACGAGUUACCGGUCAGCAGAAUAAUUAGAUCACUUAUAAGAUAGGAAAGGUAUACGCCUGCUCAAGCCGAAGCCCAUUGAUUUAUUCACUGAAUGUUUUAAGUAAUGGGUUAGAUUUGCUGUUCUAGUCAUCUAUUUUGCACGCACUUUGUAUUUUUAGAUUGUCUUUCUAUCUAGCUAUCUGAGAUCGAGCUAGAUUUAAGCGAACAUUACUCAGGGUAACUAAAAAACAGAGCUCGUAUGUGUACUGUAUAAUGAUAGAACAAGCGAAUCGACGAGUAAGUACAACCAUAGAUCAUUCGAAUUUCAUUGUCUGAACCGUUCUGCAGUAAAGUGUAGUAAGAGCUCCCUUGUUCUACAUGAAAUAAUCGUGUACUAAACAGUGGAUUUUUUUCGGUUUUAUCAAAAUAUAACGUUACCAAUAUUAUAUAAAUUUUAUUAUAUAUUUCAUAUCAUGCACCUUCUCUAUAGCAAUGUUGACUACAGGCGGAGACAGAUGUUGAUCGGAUAUGUAAUCUCGGAGCAUUUAUUGUGUAGGUGACAUGUCCUCAGACAACUGAAUUAUCUGAGAAUAGGGAAUUUAUCGCCAAACAUUAACACCAAACGCUGAAUAUAAUCGCCAAUAAGAAUUGAGUUUGUCAGAAUGGAAAAUAGAACCAAUGCUUUUGGUUCCUUUGAAACUAAAAUGUCCCGCAGACAGGCGAGGCAUUGCCCAUGCUUUUAUAGUUGAACCUAGGGAUACAUGUUCAUCCCAGAUUGAUUUACGGUUGUACACCAAAAUAGAAAUAGAAUCAAUUUAGAUCUAAUUGAUUCAAAAUUUUUUGAUACAGGGUUAGAAUUAAUCAACCGAAACUCGAUUGGUCUUGUAAUGAUGAGACUGUAAAGCGUCACGAAAACAAAUAAGCUGUUUUUUCAUAAGUCGGUUUUUUUGCGUGGUUUCCUCUGCUUAAUCAAAAUCAUGAGUCUACAAUUGAUACUAUUAUCCAGAGGAGUCUUAGUCGACAUUUCACAUUACUCCAUAUUGGUACAUGCUCACUUAUUAUGCACUUUGGCUGAAAUACACCUGCACGCAUGGGUGGCCAUUUUGCAAAUAUACGAUAUAUUGUGCAAAUUUUAUAGUACUUAUUGUAACAUGAUGUGUCUUUGCGUGUCAAGAGAUCAAUCGACAGACUGGCAGCUAGUGAACAAUAGCUACAGUCCCUCCCAUUAUCUUAUAUUACCAAUAAUUACAGUUUUACCGAUGGCAUAGAUGAUAUAGACAUUUUUACGAGCGUACAAAUAUCUAUAUCAUCUAACAGUUGUCGGAAGUCCCCUUGCUAAUAACCUUCGUCACUUUCGAUAAUCCGGCGCGAUUGGAGCAGUGGAAAUAUAAAAAGCUACAACAACAAUUCAGUCUGUUUGGUCUUGCUUUAACAGAGCUGAUAUUAAGUGCCGUAUAUAAGACACGACAGUUUAGUAAGUUAAUUUUAAUUUUAUUCGUGAGAAUUUAGCAGUCAGUGCACUUUGGAGCUUCACCGCUUAUCGCAUGCUAGACAUUAGGUCCUCGAUAUAAGCUUUUCUGGCGUAUGUUUAGACGGAGUGGCUUGGGAUUAUGAGGUUUUGGUAAAAGUUUAGAAUGAUGUUUUCUUGUUUUGCAGUUAUGCCAAUAUGUUAAUGCUAGCAUUUAAAUGAUGAUUUCCCUCUAAAUAACAAUUAUAUUAACAAUAUAGUUGCAAUACAUAUCGUCACAUAUGAGUAAGUUAUACUGUCUGAGAUUGAAGUCAUGUCAGAGCUGAGCCUACCUACGGUCAGAUAUAGAAGACGAGGUACCUAAUAUGGCAGGGUCAUUCGUAGUUGCAGAUGGAAUUUCUUUAAUUACCGUAAUUAUAAUUGUUAUAAGCUAACCGAUAGCCCGUCCGAGGCUAAAUGUUUUUUUUUUAAGUAAUAUAACUGCGCUUGCUUUCCCACUAAUGAGUGCGAAGGAGUGCAGAACUGCCUCGAUCGAGCGUUAUUUUAUCCAAAUGAUCUAAAACGUUGCUAGAAUGUAUCGUAUGUAAAUAAAGACAAGAAGCUUUUCGUUAUCUAGGCGCGUCCCAUAGUGUAUUUAUGCUUGUUAAUUAAAAUGUUAUGCAGGUGAGGGAAAAUUGCUAUUUGCUUGAAGUGGGGUAAACAAUAGAGUUUGUGACCUUCGGUUAAAAAUGACAUAACAAAGUUGCCUGAUUCUAAGGUCACAUGAUUCAAAGAUUUCACUAUGUGUUGACGUAGAUAACCCUUUUAAAAACGCGAUGGUUAUUAGUUAUCUAUGUGUAUCUUAUGUGCUACGCAUGGACACAAUCCAGAAUACCCGAAGGUACUAAAAAUUAAAUAAAAAUUAGACCCAUUGUUGUUACUUAGUCUAGAAGUAAUUUGCUGCUUGGGAUGGCAUAUGGGAGCAGAUGUAUGAUGCCGCACUCGGCUAUGCUGAGACGCAUUGUUAUAGGUUACGUGUCGUUAGCGUUCACGUAUUUCGUAUUCUUCUGAGCGUUCGACAAAGAUGGCCAGGAUUUCAAGUCAAGUAAGCAUAGAAUAAAAUUGAAUCCUAUGCAAAUAACUCGACGACGCGUAUCUUUAAGUUAUCAUAGUAUCACAUAUUUUGUUCUCUUCAAAUCUGUAUUAGAUGAAGCCGAAUCGUUUGAUUGUUGUUACCUUGAGAAGCAUUGACCGGGGAAACUUCACAAAUUUUUCCUAGGAUUCGUCUUUUAGCCAAAGCGAAGAACAAAGUAAAAUGAAAUGCAAACGUUUGCGUAGAGUGAACGACAGGACAGCAAAGAAAGCGUAUGCGUUGUACCCUGCACUGGGAGGUAAAUUGUGUGAGAAAAAAGUUUGUGAUUUGUUCAAUGCUAUGGGAUGAACAGGCAUUGCUAGCGGGGCGAUACUGCAGUUCAAUGUGUUAGCUAGUUAAUGCUGUCCAACAUUUUGAUUAGUAACUAAUAAGAACGAUUCAAGGUCUGUACACACGGCUGUUCAGAGUGAAGAAGGAUAUCAUUUUUAAAAUUAGACCUCCCGACUUAUAGCCCGGGUAAUUGUAUAACCUAAAUCUGAAGGCUGAUAGAAAGAAGAGGAAGAAGAAGAAGAAGCGAUUUCUUAUGUGCAUCAAGUACAAAAAUGUGAUUCGAAACAGUGUACAACUUAGGAACGCAACAUCUUCCUCGAAAUUAGUCAUUGUAACUGACUCAUCACUCUGUGAUCAUCAACUGACUAAGGAACUUCGAAUUUAUUGUUUUAUCAUAAAAGCAUUUACGUAUCUUGACCUGUUCUUGCAAAUCAUUCUUUUAGUCUAUUAAUGUAUACUACGUUAAAAGUUUCGUCAUCGGUAGGCAAAUAAAUGAAUAUCCUGGCAUCCGCCUACAAACGUAUAUACGUUUCGUGAUAAAGGCAGUGACGUAAGAAGCUUACAACUAGGCCUAGUUGUUUUAAGAAAGGUGUAAAAUAAAAGUAUUUUGUAAUGAAAUUUUUAUAGUCAUGGUUCAUUUGGGAGACUCCUAUAAAAUAGUCACGCUUUUUUUGGACUAUCGAAGUCUCUCGUCUACCCGUUAACGUAAAAGAAAUGCGUUCUAUCUGCAGGUUCCAUUAACCUAAACGGUGGCGUAUUUCUCAGCGGAAGAACUUGUAUCUGGCUGUGUUCCAGCUGCAUGUACACAGCACUGUGAUCCCUUUUCAAUAACUGCUCCAUUACCGAUACGAAAGGAUGAAGCUGAGAAGUAUAAUAGGUCUCAUUUAGGCGACGAAAUUCAUCUUGUGAGUAGGCAAGGAGCUCAUUGUACUGGUUGGAAUGGUAUUGCUGAAUGUUAGGAGGCCGAUCAGUGUCGACGUUUAACGAGAGGCUAAAGGCAUCGUCGACCGCUUCCUUUGCCAUUGUUUCCACAAUAAACAAGUAAAGGCGUGCAGACUCAAGCUGAAAUAAAAAUAAGUAACACCUGUAUUAUAUCUGCUUCUAAAUACCUAUAUGUGGUACAAAUUCAAAAGAAAAAUUCCACUUGUGUAUAUGGAGGGAUUCCACAAGCUGGCAAUUCUAUAUCCAAUAAAGUUGGCACCGUUGGGCUAUUAAUGUCCAUUUCAGUGGCCAAUCCCGUUACUGCAGUUGGUGUAACGCAAGUGAGGGUUGUGCUCGAAACUCGACAGUACUUUUUGAAUCCAUGCGACGGUAAAAAAAUGUUCGUUUAGAGAGAGCCUCUAAUAAAGCCUAAAAAUACAAGAGACAGACGGGAAAAUAAGUUAGGGCCUUGGUUAGGGCCGACCUGCGCUUCGGCUUUUAUUAUCGUACCCUUUUCGUUAUCUUGUGUUUCUUGUAUUAUCGUUAAGUGCAGUGCCUCCAUCUUAGAAUUCGAUAUAGUAUUUUGUGGAAAAAAGGUAUAGGAAAAGGUUUUCAAAGCAAAAGGUAAUUCUAGUGCUUGUUCGUUAACUUCGAACUUCAGUGGAUACCUUUCUUAUUAUUAUUAUUUUGUAGGUAAGCUCCAGCUGCUUUGAAAGAUUGUUUUAGUGUUCUUGAGCUAGUAGUCGCUUCACUUGCCACGUAGGCUGUAGAAGGUCGCGUAAGCUAUAGUCUAUAGUAGUUGACUGUUCUCAGUUUCUGAGGUAACUCAAAUCUAUUCAAGCGAAAAGGCUGCAAAUGAGGCUUCGGCAUACUUUUUUCCACCUAAGAAUAGCGUCUGGAACUAAGCAUUCGACUAUUUCCCAUUUUAAUUUAUAGCAGAUAAUACUAAUAUGAACUCGUGUUAUCGAAAACUUAGCGUGAUUCUGCGCAAAUGGCUCUGAUACAUCAACUUCGAAAAUUUCGAGGCAGUCUCGUUGUUUUCACUACACAUUUUGGCGGCAGUUGUGGUCGACGGGAAUACGUUCUACAUUAACAUUUUAUUUCGAUGUUCAGGAAGAGUUAAUUUUUCAGUAUCUGAAGGCUACCAUUUAUGACAGCUUGCAACUGGAUAUGUUUUGACUGAAAUUGUUUUACAAGUAGCUUAACAAUAACCAGCUUUACUAGAAGUAUAUCAUUGUAAUCUGCCUCAGUAUCUAAACAGAACUUUACGUACUUCAGCCGUACGUUCUAUGAGGCCAAAGCAAAUUAUAAUAUUGCAUAAGAAAAUAAGUUGAUAUCGAACGUGACGCCUACAGCCAGAUGUACUCUAAAGUAUGCGACUUGGAUUUAUAAGAACAAAAAAAUCCAACAAAAUGCAUCAAUAGUCAAUAAUAUUACUGAAAAUACAUUUGGGUAUUUUUUUUUUAUGUAAGAGCUGUUCAUUCUCGAUGUCUCAGAUCUAUUCAAAGAUUUUUGACUGCAACAGCGUAGCCUAUGCGGGCGAAAUGGUUUUUUAUCACACAUAUCAGUCGGUUUUGUUCGUCGUCGUUGAUGCUGAAUUACUGAAAAUAUGUUAAGGAACUUGGUCAUUUUAGGUUUUUCUCAUAGCAGCGGCUAGGCAUGCUGUACUGCACUACGUCGGGUGCAUUUAUUCAAAAGCGAUGUUUAUGCCUUCCAUAAUUGGCAGGUAUAAUGAUCCUACUGGACAAGAUAGUUCGGCGUAUAGACAGAACAUGAUCGAACAUCUUGUAUUUUAUCUUAAGUAAUCCGCAGGUAGUUCUUUGAGUGACAUAAUGUUUCAUCUAUAAAGCUAGUUAUAAUAGGACUUCGAUAUUAUGGCUAUUCGAUAGACUGGUGCCAUCUCUAGCGGUUCGAACGUAAUACAUCGGGAUUGAGUGACAUGCUAUAAUCCAGAACGCCGCCUGUGUGAUUAUUGCUCAAGUUACUACUAAAAGUUGAUACUACGAAUAGCUUACUGAUAGUCCUAUUGUGACCACGUAACUGGGUUUUUUCGUAGUAUGCAGUAAGCUUGCUUAAGACUGCUCGAAUGCAUCUACUUUGUAUAUAUUUACGACCUUUCAUGUAAAUAAAAAGCUGAACUAUUUUACUCUAGUGUUCAUAUAUAGUCACUGUGUCGUUGGAAUUAUUAGCUCGUUGCUUUCUCCUACUGGAACUCACGCUGACGCCAGUCACUUUCCCCGAUCCACACUAUCCAUUAGAUCUUCUUGGGUCGAAUUAUACAGACAGAAAAGUGAAAUAUCUAUUAGUCUAUAACUGAUCAUACUAAAAUGUUGUGGUUUCUGCGGCGUCGUAAGCUGCACCAUGUACGCAUAAAUACAUAGAUAGUUUACGAUUUUUUCACUAUAUAUAUACAUUGAGUUGAGUCGGGCUGCGCUGUUUCGUGUCGGAAACCUUUGCGGUUCGUGUCCGUCAGAAUCUGUAUCCUAUUUAGUAGGUGCAGUUAAGAAUCCAUAAAAGCAACGCACACGUGUGGUGUAUAUACACAUCGUGCGAACACGCUGGUAUAGUGGAGACGAUGUUAAUAAAAAUUGCUUACCUCAGUUGUCAACGAUUUGUUUCAUCGGGGCAUCUAUUUGCAAAAACUAUUGUAGGGCAGCUUCGUGUUCCUAUUCCUAGAAGUGAGGCUGAGGUAUGAUAUCGGUUAUCGUUUGAUCUGAUGCUUUUUGCCGUACGCCACUUGCUAUGCCAUGUUAUAUACGUCAAUCUGCUGAUUGUCGGAAGUGGAAUAGCAAUUUCCGACAAUCCGCUCCUUUGUUGUUUUUAAAAUUACGAACGGCUUUUCAGAACAUCGCCAAUAGUUUGUUUGGAUUUUUGGAUAUUAAUCUAAUUAAUUUAUUUAACAUACAAUCCCCAAGGCCACAUCAGUGUUAUAUAUAUAUUGUACCCCUUAUACGUACCAUCUUUCAUCUAUGGGAACGAAUUUAGAUAGUAGUCCUCUUCAGCUACGUAAAACCAACAUACAACUUUUGUCAGUAGAUAUCGAGUUAGCUUCAGGCGCUGUUACGAAGACGCGCUGUAUUUAAAGUGCUUCAAUGAACACUCUGACUUUGAGGUGUUCGCGAUAAAAACAAAGUGGUCUAAAUUAUCCGUUAAACAUUACCUUUUCAAACGUGCACUUAAAAUAGUUAAACUCGUUUAUCCUACAUAUUUUACCCUCAUCGAAACGACACACUUGGUAUUUUGUUGAGCAAUAAUUGGCCGCUCGUAGGCACGUGAUGCUCAAUGAUGGCCCUCACAUCCCAUAAUUUAUUCACAAAAAUCUAUUGAACAAAUAAGCGAAAUAAAUGGUGAGAGAAUAAAAGCAAAACAAAAAACGCUAACACUGCGCUUUUUUAGCUUCUUCAUUACAGUUAGAUUCCCAUAGAAGAUCAACCAGCUCGGUACGCUGACAAUCUUGUGAUAGCGUUGGCGACAACAUUGCUAAUUAACGAUGGCCGCCACGGUAAUGCUCAUCCAUUUCAACGAUUGCUACAAUGUCGAAGCACAAAAGACUGAGCCCGUGGGAGGCGCGACCCGUUUCUGUACGGCGGUUAAGUCACUGCGGCCAUUUAACCCAUUGGUGUUAUUCAGCGGCGAUAUUUUGGCUCCAUCGAUUAUGAGCACGUUCACGAAGGGCGAUCAAAUGGUUCCCGUCCUCAACAGCAUCCAAACUGAUUGUGCCGUGUAUGGAAAUCAUGACUUCGAUUUCGGCGUAGACAACCUGAUCGACUUUAAGGAUAAAUGUAAAUUUCCAUGGCUGAUGAGCAACGUUGUUGACAACGAAACUCAGAAACUAUUGGCUGACGGCUCUGAAUUUGUCAUUCUCGAACGCACUGGAAAAAAGUUUGGAAUUAUCGGCCUUGUAGAAGAAGAAUGGUUGGCUACGCUAGCUACAAUUGACGCUGAGCAGGUAGAGUUCCGAGAUUUCGUAACUGAAGGACGACGGUUAGCUCGACUCCUCAAAGGACCGAAUCAUGGAUGCCGCUAUGUGAUAGCUCUUACCCAUAUGCGAUUUCCCAAUGAUUGUCGAUUGGCGGAGAACGUCGAUGAAAUCGAUCUAAUUCUUGGCGGACACGAUCACGUUUAUGAAAUUAAAAAAUGUGCAGGAAAGUAUAUCGUGAAAUCCGGAACCGAUUUUCGCCAAUUCUCCAAAAUUAUUCUAACGUUUACAGUCGAGGGACCAGUCGACGUAACUAUUGAGGAGGUAAAUAUCACAUCUAAAUACGACGAAGACGAAGAUCUCCUCCAAGAGCUCAAGAAGUACGACGCAGUAGUUCAAGCAGGUAAAAUGGAUGAAGUUUUGGGUCAGUUCUCAGUGGACCUCGAUGGCCGAUUUAGCUCAAUCCGUACGUCUGAGACGAAUUUAGGAAAUUUUAUCACGGACGUUAUGCUAGCUGCGACGCAUUCCGACCUCGCAUUGCUCAAUUCGGGCACCCUCCGCUCAGAUCGAGUGCAUCCGAAAGGUUCUUUCACCAUGCGUGAUUUGGUGACUGUCCUUCCAAUGAUGGAUAGUUUAAUAGUUCUAGAGGUUACAGGAAAGCAAAUCGUAGGGGCCCUUGAAAAUGGCGUAAGCCUGUAUCCGAGACUCGAAGGACGAUUUCCACAGGUGUCUGGAGUUUCAUUUGCAUUUGAUCCUCGAAAGCCAGCAGGCAAACGUAUAAACCCCGACCACGUAAAGAUUGGAGAUGAAAAGCUCGAUCUGAACCAAAGAUACCGACUUGUCACGAAGAUGUACCUUUACCAGGGCAAGGACGGUUACGACAUUCUUAAGAACUCGCUUAUAUUGAUGGCUGAAGACGAAUCGCCAGAAUUAUGUACAGCAGUUCAGAAUCAUUUCCAGGCGAUCAAGAUGCUCACGGGGGCUCAAGAACAUUGGCAUACGCACCACAGACAAAGUCUUGUGGCUCUCUCAAGGAGGCACAGCGUUGUUCGUAUGGCAGAGGAAGCUCACCAUGGACACAACAGACAGCCGGUGUUAAUUAAAGGCGGGUCGCAGGAUGCGUCCGCACGGCGGGCUCAAUUCGGAACACGACAGUCAUCAUUGGAUAACGUUGAACAUGAACAAGCGAAGCUCAGCCCAAGAGUCGAGGGUCGGAUAGUUGUCCUUGCGCGCGAGGUUUGAAUCGAGAAACUUUAAAAAAAUUGUUAUUAUACGCUUUACUGUACCGUAUGUUUAUGCUGAUCGUUGACAUAAUAAGAAAGAAUGUAGAGAUUGGUUGGCUAUAGCUAGAUGCAAAUCGAUAUUUUUUGUAGUGGUCUUUUCGAGUAAAACACCUUCAUAUAAAACUAGAAAUGGGCCUGGGUCAGCUGAAAAAAAAACUGAAAACAUUGAUUUACUUGGACUAACUGUGCUCUCACGUUGUUUUAUUUAUGUCGUGUAGAAUUUUAGGUGACUUGAAAACUAACGAUGAAAUUAGAGGAGCUUUUUCAGAUUAAUUAGCUAAAAUCUUUUCAGGAGGUAGACGCACAGAAAAAGCUAAAGCAGAUAUAACUGAAUAUUGGUGGAUAUUUUGCUAAAAGGGGUAUUACUCGAAAUAUGCAAAAUCGAGCGUGAUCGCUACGUGAAAAGUCUUCGAGAUAAUAAGAUAAAAGUUCAAUCAUAUUUUAACGUACUUUCUCAUACGAUCUCUACUGAACACAUUACGCUGCCAUCGGUGUUCUAGUUACCAUGUAAGCUUUUGUCUCACGCGCCACUUUUCGUGAACCACUUUCAAUGGAGCCACGUACUCCGAUGGGACUUAACGUACCGAAAAUUUUACCAGGCUUUAUUUAAUCACCUACCAGCGAAGGAUAUUUAUGAUUAUUUUCCUGCAUUGUUCGACAUGGUUCUGUCCUCGGUACUAGUACGUCAACUUAUGGGCACGUUGAUCAAAAUCUAAAUAUAUUUUAUCGCAUCCUUUAGUUUUCAACUAAAAUUCAUUUGAUUUAUUGAAACAAAGAUGGUUGGUUAUAGCACGAGUUACUUUUAGUUGAAACCUAUUUUCGUUGACUAUCUAUGGCAGGUGAUAGUGAAGAUACGUUUUUAAUUCUUCUUCAUAUCUCAGGUCCCGGCGGUACGUUUUUGCUUAACUAAGAACAAUCGCAUAUUACUCUAUGUCUAUUAAUUUUUUCAUCAUAUUCUUCUGUAUGUGUUCUGCUUCCUAUUACUUUAUUUUGUCCACUGUUCUACAUGGUGAUUGUUGUCAUUUCUAUCAGUGACGUUAACGCAGCAGUGACUAGCCGAAAACCGCGAACUACUUGAUCGACGGGACGCGCCUAUCGCUUCAAUCGAGAAUGUUCAGUAAAUCCUUCGAGAAUAGCAGCCUGAAUUUUCGAGUUGGUUUUAUGUGUCCUUUCUUCUUAAAAUGUCAGCGGAUGUCUACCAAAGGUGCCGUAUGUAUAGGGUUUCCAGUCGCGUUUUACAUAACUUGUUACUGCUGUGAGAGCUAGAAUUUUUCUUUUACUUGGAACAUUAUUGGGUGUAUAUCUUUGACAUUUAUAGCACUAGAAAUCUGCAAAACGGAAAAGUCUCAUUUCUCGUUUUUGUACGUACGACAGUAGCUCCCAUACAAUUGGCAACAGCACAGAAGCUAUAGAUACACUUACCAAGCAUUGUGAAGAACACUCAAAACGGAACAAGAGUGUCGAAAUUAGAAGGCGAAGGCUGAGAUAUUUGCUCUUAUCACACUUAGGUUCUUUCAAUUUGAGAUAAUAGAAAAUGUUGACGACAGCCUUCCCUUUUUCUAUUACCAAUAUCAGUAAAUUAGAAAUUACCUCAAGCUAGAAGUAUAUUACCUUUUCAGCAUUAUAUCUAUGGCAUUAUAUCUAAAUUCAUUUUAACUCCAUAAAUAGGAAUAAAGCUUCAUUUGACCGUGUGGUUACACAUCCGCGGAAAGAAAAAUCCUAUUGGAAAUCUGUAAAGUUUUGAAGCUGGUAACCUCGAAGUGGUCUAUUCAACAGAUUACUGAUCCCAUUAAUGCAUAAACCAAUCUCGCAUUCAAAGCUACUAAUGAUUUGUUUUAUUCUUAUGUAUGUGUCUUCUAUAAAUAUCUUUGGUUGGCGUAUAGGGUGAGGCUUGGUCUGCAGAGAAACAAAUGGAUAAGCUUUCGUUAACGGCCCAUAUCGACGAUGUCAUUCCCGAAGAAGCCCUGCAAA